This 253-nucleotide ribosomal RNA is filed under the name uncultured bacterium. Its description in RNAcentral is "partial 16S ribosomal RNA". It matches the Rfam family "Bacterial small subunit ribosomal RNA", at positions 524 to 776 of the family's 1533-position model. The record is from RNAcentral.
UACGGGGGGGGCAAGCGUUGUUCGGAAUUACUGGGCGUAAAGGGCUCGUAGGCGGCCAACUAAGUCAGACGUGAAAUCCCUCGGCUUAACCGGGGAACUGCGUCUGAUACUGGAUGGCUUGAGUUUGGGAGAGGGAUGCGGAAUUCCAGGUGUAGCGGUGAAAUGCGUAGAUAUCGGAAGGAACAUCAGUGGCGAAAGCGACUUCCUGGACCAAUACUGACGCUCAUGUGCGAAAGCGUGGGGAGCAAACAGG